UCCCUGGAGGUCCAGUGGUUAAGAGUCUGCAUUUCCACUGCAGGGGGCACAGGUUUGAUCCCUGGUCAGGGAA
Transfer RNA from Ovis aries (sheep), 73 nucleotides. It matches the Rfam family "tRNA". From Rfam's summary of the family: Transfer RNA (tRNA) molecules are approximately 80 nucleotides in length. Their secondary structure includes four short double-helical elements and three loops (D, anti-codon, and T loops). Lineage: Eukaryota; Metazoa; Chordata; Mammalia; Artiodactyla; Bovidae. The record is from Rfam.